Molecule: ribosomal RNA, 253 nt
Filed under: uncultured bacterium
Lineage: Bacteria
Description: partial 16S ribosomal RNA
Rfam family: Bacterial small subunit ribosomal RNA
Source: RNAcentral
GACGAACCGAGCGAACGUUGUUCGGAAUCACUGGGCUUAAAGGGCGCGUAGGCGGGCUGUCAAGUCUGGGGUGAAAUCCCGCGGCUCAACCGCGGAACGGCCUCGGAUACUGUCGGCCUCGAGGGGGGUAGGGGCAUUUGGAACUGUCGGUGGAGCGGUGAAAUGCGUUGAUAUCGACAGGAACUCCGGUGGCGAAGGCGAGGUGCUGGACCCCUUCUGACGCUGAGGCGCGAAAGCGUGGGGAGCAAACAGG